GCCGGGGCCGGGGCCGGGGCCGGGGCCGGGGCCGGGGCCGGGGCCGGGGCCGGGGCCUCCUCCCCGGUGCGCUGCGGGAUGGCCUCGUCUCGGCCGGAACACGGCAGAUCAGGAAAGGUCACAUGCUUUUUGGUGUCCUGAAUUACACUACAACUCAAGGUGGAAGUCGAAGACUCAGAUCCAAGAUCCCAGAGCCACUGCUGACGCUGAACCCAUGAACAGGAGUCCAGGCUGUGUUCAGGAGUUACUCCAGGAUGAGGAACUGCUAUUGGUCCUCAAGCAGCAGGACGGGAGAAGAGCAGAUGAAAAGCUGCAGCUAAGCCUGAUGGACCUGCACAACUCUCAGGUCAUCAUGUGAGAGGCAGCUGUGAGGCAUCAAUUCUUUCCAUGCACGUGAAUUAAUUUUUUCCAUCUGCAAAUUUAGGUGGAAAACUGCAGUUUUCAUUAAUCUUUGUGGAAACAAUGUAAUGGCCCAAAAAACCCUCAAAAUCGCAGCUUUAUGCAGUGACUGCCUGUAGAUUUGUUAUGGCCUAAAACUACCCAUUUUAUUGCAUUAAAAAAAAAAAAAGAAAAAAGCGAAAAAUAAAAUUUGGAGUGCAAGAAAGGCAUUUGUGAACAUAUACAUUAAAAUAUGAAUAAGACAGAGGCUGAGAGAACAUUAAUAUGGCCCUUUGUUUUCUGCUAAUGUGCCUUCAUUUCGCUAUCGUUAAAUUUUUAUGGUAGUUAAAUUUUGGCGCAUGAAUAUUUAAAAACAAUGUAACAGACGCUGGCAAAAAAAUAAAAGCAUAACAACAUUGAUUCAA
Molecule: long non-coding RNA, 803 nt
Organism: Numida meleagris (helmeted guineafowl)
Lineage: Eukaryota; Metazoa; Chordata; Aves; Galliformes; Numididae
Exons: 3
Source: RefSeq, a predicted model, not a curated record